AUGGAUCUUUGCCAAGUUCUGGGUCAGGAGUUGGAUGCGCUGGAGAUUGAGAUAGUACAGAAGGGGACAAUACAUCCAAGGAAGAGUUGCAAGAUGAACAGUUCAUGUGCAGAUGUCCUUUUUGCUGCACAUAGGUGGCAGAUGUCCAAACCAAGCUUAGUUUCUGAGUUAAAGGAUGUCUUCGAUCAGAAAGCCAGUAACAAGCACUGGAUUGAUGUGCAACCAAGAUGGGGAGACUAUGAUUCGCAUGACAUAGAACAUUACGCAAGAGCAAAAUUUAUGGACUACAUGACAGAUAAUUUGUCCAUCUACCGUACUCCGACUGCUUAUAAUUUGCACUCUGCUUUUGGUAAUUGGUUCCCUGGGUCAAAGCCCCUCCUUCAGCAAGCAAUGAACAAGAUCAUGAAGUCAAAUCCUGCUCUGUAUGUGCUGAGGGAGAGAAUAGGAAAGGGUCUUCAGUUGUAUUCAUCUGAACCCACUGCCCACCGAGCCAUAUGUGUCUUCAUAGAACUACGGUACUGA
This 522-nucleotide ribosomal RNA is filed under the name Triticum aestivum (bread wheat). RNAcentral describes it as "partial small subunit ribosomal RNA". The record is from RNAcentral. Lineage: Eukaryota; Viridiplantae; Streptophyta; Magnoliopsida; Poales; Poaceae.